CCUACGGGAGGCUGCAGUCGAGAAUCUUCGGCAAUGGGCGAAAGCCUGACCGAGCGACGCCGCGUGGAGGACGAAGGCCUUAACGGUUGUAAACUCCUGUUGGGGGGAAACAAAACAAUGAGUGAACCCCUGAGGAAGCACGGGCUAAGUUCGUGCCAGCAGCCGCGGUAAGACGAACCGUGCGAACGUUAUUCGGAAUCAUUGGGCUUAAAGAGCACGUAGGCGGCGUCGUAAGUUGGAAGUGAAAUCCCACGGCUCAACCGUGGAACUGCCUCCAAUACUGCGAUGCUUGAGGGAGGUAGGGGCCUGUGGAACUUCCGGUGGAGCGGUGAAAUGUGUUGAGAUCGGAAGGAACGCCAGUGGCGAAAGCGACAGGCUGGAUCUUUUCUGACGCUGAGGUGCGAAAGCUAGGGUAGCGAACGGGAUUAGAUACCCUAGUAGUC
This 443-nucleotide ribosomal RNA is filed under the name uncultured bacterium. Its description in RNAcentral is "bacterial SSU rRNA". It matches the Rfam family "Bacterial small subunit ribosomal RNA", at positions 338 to 795 of the family's 1533-position model. The record is from RNAcentral.